Molecule: ribosomal RNA, 119 nt
Filed under: Lottia gigantea (owl limpet)
Lineage: Eukaryota; Metazoa; Mollusca; Gastropoda; Lottiidae
Source: RNAcentral
GUCUAAGGCCAUACCACGUUGAAAGCACCAGUUCUCGUCCGAUCACUGAAGUUAAGCAACGUCGGGCUCGGUUAGUACUUGGAUGGGUGACCGCCUGGGAACACCGAGUGCUGUAGACU